Long non-coding RNA from Eriocheir sinensis (Chinese mitten crab), 1187 nucleotides. RefSeq lists it as uncharacterized. The transcript is spliced from 3 exons. Lineage: Eukaryota; Metazoa; Arthropoda; Malacostraca; Decapoda; Varunidae. The record is from RefSeq and is a predicted model, not a curated record.
UUUGUGCUGCAGGAGGUUGACAAUUGAAGCCGAUUUGAGAGCCGUGUAUCUUGCCUUUUUCCACUUGUUUUCGGUCAUCGUGCCAAGACCAAGACCAAGGCUCGAGGUAGUGUAGCAGCGGGGAUUAGGAAACGGAUGCGAGACGUCACUUAUAGGAAUGCAGGUUUUCUAUUUAGCAACGGGGAUAAGGAAACGGAUGCGAGACGUCACUUAUAGGAAUGCAGGUUUUCUAUAUAAUGUUUCGUCUCUCCACUGUUACACUCUCUUAUCUCGUCUCUUUUCUUCUUCUUGUUCUCUUUCUACUUCGCUUUCGUUGUUUCUACUUUCAUUUUCUCUUCCUCGGCGUCUCGGGUGUUUGGGGCCGACUCUACAGGUGGUUUCAAGUGUCAACGCCCCUUCCUCUCUAUCUGAUUCUAUAUAAUGUUGUCUCUCCACUGUUACAUUCUAAUAUCUCGUCUCUUUUCUUCUCGUCCUCUUUCUAUUUCUCCCUCAUUGCUUCACUUUACUUCUCUCGUUCUCUGCGUCUCGGGUCUUUGGGGCCGACUCGACGGUAGCCUCAUGUAUCCGCACUCCAAGCUUCCCAGAUUAUCGUACUCAGCACAUAGUAUUUUUCGGUUUCUCACCCAUCAGUAUAUAAAAGACCACCGGUACUUUACGUUUUUAACAUUAUCUUUAACUGGAUAUCGCUAAAGGUGCGGCUACGACAGUUUUGGGUCCUGAAACUGAUAAAUGAUUACUUUUUAACAUUAUCUUUAACUGGAUAUCGCUAAAGGUGCGGCUACGAUAGUUUCUUGGGUCCUGAAACUGAUAAAUGCUUACUUUUUAACAUUAUCCUUAACUGGAUAUCGCUAAAGGUGCGGCUAUGACAGUUUCUUGGGUCCUGAAACUGAUAAAUGCUUACUUUUUAACAUUAUCCUUAACUGGAUAUCGCUAAAGAUGCGGCUAUGACAGUUUCUUGGGUCCUGAAACUGAUAAAUGCUUACUUUUUUAACAUUAUCUUUAACUGGAUAUCGCUAAAGGUGCGGCUACGAUAGUUUCUUGGGUCCUGAAACUGAUAAAUGCUUACUUUUUUAACAUUAUCUUUAACUGGAUAUCGCUAAAGGUGCGGCUACGAUAGUUUCUUGGGUCCUGAAACUGAUAAAUGCUUACUUUUUAACAUUAUCUUUAACUGGAUAUCGCUAAAGAUG